GUCCACACUGUAAACGUUGAUGACUCGAUGUUGGCGAUACACAGCCAGCGUCCAAGAGCAAUCGUUAAGUCAUCCACCUGGGGAGUACGCCGGCAACGGUGAAACUCAAAGGAAUUGACGGGGUCGCACAAGCGGUGGAGCAUGUGGUUUAAUUCGAUGAUACGCGAGGAACCUUACCUGGGCUAGAAUGCCUUGAUGGGUACAGAGAUGUAUCGUUCGCAAGAACAAAGUGCAAGGUGCUGCAUGGCUGUCGU
RNAcentral lists this ribosomal RNA (254 nucleotides) under uncultured bacterium. RNAcentral describes it as "partial 16S ribosomal RNA". It matches the Rfam family "Bacterial small subunit ribosomal RNA", at positions 793 to 1055 of the family's 1533-position model. The record is from RNAcentral.